Molecule: long non-coding RNA, 543 nt
Organism: Pogona vitticeps (central bearded dragon)
Lineage: Eukaryota; Metazoa; Chordata; Lepidosauria; Squamata; Agamidae
Source: Ensembl
AUGGAACAAGCAGCUGAAGUCGUAAUGGACCAGAAUGAAUUUGUUCCUGAAAAUAUAGAAAAAACUGAACCUAAAAAAAAGGGACCAAGGGGCCGGGGAAGAGGUCGAGGUGGCAGAGGAUAUACUAGAGGGAAAACACGAGGCAGAGCACUGAAUGGCUUUGGGCCUAUAAGACGUGGAAUGGGAAGAAUGCGCCCGUAUCCAGAUGCAAGAGGCGGAAGAGGAGCUCAUGGAGGACCACUUUUCCCACAUAUUCCACCCAUAAGAGGAAUGGCAAGAAUGCCUUUUCUGCCGCCGCCGCCUCCUCCUCUCCCUCCUCCUCCUCCACGAUAUGGAAUUCCUCCCCCUCCUCCUCCCCCACCUCCAGAAUUAAUGGGCUUCAGAGGCAGGCCGCCUCUUCCCCAAGCCAGAGGAAUGCUGCCAUGGCCGCGAGGCCGAUUUCCACCUCCAGGAGGCUUUCCCAAUGGACCCCGUGCACCAGCCCCUCCGCCACCUGGGCGGGGCCAGAAGUGGCCUGGGCCACCAGGUGGCAGAUUCUAUUAA